This 497-nucleotide ribosomal RNA is filed under the name uncultured bacterium. RNAcentral's name for it is "partial 16S ribosomal RNA". It matches the Rfam family "Bacterial small subunit ribosomal RNA", at positions 28 to 507 of the family's 1533-position model. The record is from RNAcentral.
GAUGAACGAUGGCGGCGUGCCUAAUACAUGCAAGUCGAGCGAACAGAUGAGGAGCUUGCUCCUCUGACGUUAGCGGCGGACGGGUGAGUAACACGUGGAUAACCUACCUAUAAGACUGGGAUAACUUCGGGAAACCGGAGCUAAUACCGGAUAAUAUAUUGAACCGCAUGGUUCAAUAGUGAAAGACGGUUUUGCUGUCACUUAUAGAUGGAUCCGCGCCGCAUUAGCUAGUUGGUAAGGUAACGGCUUACCAAGGCAACGAUGCGUAGCCGACCUGAGAGGGUGAUCGGCCACACUGGAACUGAGACACGGUCCAGACUCCUACGGGAGGCAGCAGUAGGGAAUCUUCCGCAAUGGGCGAAAGCCUGACGGAGCAACGCCGCGUGAGUGAUGAAGGUCUUCGGAUCGUAAAACUCUGUUAUUAGGGAAGAACAAAUGCGUAAGUAACUAUGCACGUCUUGACGGUACCUAAUCAGAAAGCCACGGCUAACUACGUG